AAGAUUCCGUGCAAGUUCCAGAAUCGGUAUUGUACAAUAUUGAAGUUUUUCUACUACAUCCGUGCCAGUUCGACCAAACGCAUAAAACACUGUGUAAUCUUUAUAAAGAUGACAAAGAACUCCAAUCCCCUGACAGACAUCAUCAAUAUACAAUGAUAAUAAGGUUGGUCCCAAAAUACAGCCCUGGUGUACACUGCUUUGUGUUGCUUGUGUAAUUAUUGUGGCAAACGAUGCUAUUAACCCUUUCAUGCAUGAAAUAUAGAAAAUAGCUGAAAAACAACAACAUUUGAAGUAGUUUUGGACUACUUCAAAUAUAUAUUUUCAUUGAAAACAUUAAAACGCUGUUUCCUCUCAUGCAUUUGCGUUUUCCUUAUGUUCCCAUAUAAACACUAAAAUAGAUUUAUUUUUCAUCCUCCACAUAUAGAGGUUGCCAAAGGGUUAACAAUGUUUUUUUUAAUGCUCUGGGGUUGGGAGUGUGUGAAGACAAAGAACACGACAGUGGGAGUGACUGAACCCGUAUACCUGGCCAACGGUAAGUUCCACACCCAUAACUGGAGCCAUAUAAGAGAGUCGCUACAAAACAGAUGUAUUGAGAAGAUUAAGCAUCACCAACUGAGCGCUUAAACCACCCAAGAGAAUCACCGGAGAAGACUGACUCAAAAUGGACGGAAAAAAGAAAGACAAGAAGGAGAAGAAGGAGAAGAAGGAAAAGGACCAUAGUCAUUGCUCCUCCUCAUCUGACUCUGACAGCGAUGGGUGCAAAAAGGGAAAGGGAGAACACAAGAAAAAGGACAAGGGGAAGGGUAAAGGACAUGACCAUAAAGGACACGACGACAAAGACAAAGUGAAACCCUAGUUCCAGGUCCAGCUCGUCAGACAGCGAUGGGGAAGGAAAGCCUGCAUCCAUACUCAAGGCAAAGAAGGACAAGGACAAAAUAAAGAAAAGAAUGAAAAGCAAGUCGAACCCUUUCAGUGCAAAGCUUAAUCCAGCCGACUGUCAAGGAACAAGGAACGUACUAAAAGGAUGGACCCUGGUAAAGAGGAUGGACCCUGGUAAAGAGGAUGGACCCUGGUAAAUGUGGAAAGGCACCCUGGCGUUCUUCCACUUUAAACUGUGGUCCUUCUGGGUCCUUCCAUUUAGUAUUCCCCUAAAACAACAGCAAUUUGCAGUCUUGAAUGUAAACGGUUCUCAGUGAUGCACACUUCAUCCUUGGCAUGCCAUUAUUUGAUUUGUUUUGCUUGUUUUUCUUUUUGAACUUGUUAAUUUGUUAAGGAUCUCCUCCUAGUACAUGGUAUCCGACCUACGCUUGAUUUCUGUCUUGUGAUUGGUUACUCUAAUAAAGACUACGUCUUGGGAACCACUGAA
Molecule: long non-coding RNA, 1366 nt
Organism: Acipenser ruthenus (sterlet)
Lineage: Eukaryota; Metazoa; Chordata; Actinopteri; Acipenseriformes; Acipenseridae
Exons: 7
Source: RefSeq, a predicted model, not a curated record